This 45-nucleotide non-coding RNA is filed under the name Schistosoma mattheei. Lineage: Eukaryota; Metazoa; Platyhelminthes; Trematoda; Strigeidida; Schistosomatidae. The record is from RNAcentral.
AACUUGCUGACGAGUGCUAAAUAGCACGAAACUCGGGUCCGGGCU